RNAcentral lists this ribosomal RNA (497 nucleotides) under uncultured bacterium. RNAcentral describes it as "partial 16S ribosomal RNA". It matches the Rfam family "Bacterial small subunit ribosomal RNA", at positions 28 to 507 of the family's 1533-position model. The record is from RNAcentral.
GAUGAACGCUGGCGGCGUGCCUAAUACAUGCAAGUCGAGCGAACAGACGAGGAGCUUGCUCCUCUGACGUUAGCGGCGGACGGGUGAGUAACACGUGGAUAACCUACCUAUAAGACUGGGAUAACUUCGGGAAACCGGAGCUAAUACCGGAUAAUAUAUUGAACCGCAUGGUUCAAUAGUGAAAGACGGUUUUGCUGUCACUUAUAGAUGGAUCCGCGCCGCAUUAGCUAGUUGGUAAGGUAACGGCUUACCAAGGCAACGAUGCGUAGCCGACCUGAGAGGGUGAUCGGCCACACUGUAACUGAGACACGGUCCAGACUCCUACGGGAGGCAGCAGUAGGGAAUCUUCCGCAAUGGGCGAAAGCCUGACGGAGCAACGCCGCGUGAGUGAUGAAGGUCUUCGGAUCGUAGAACGCUGUUAGUAGUGAAGAACAAAUGUGUAAGUAACUAUGCACGUCUUGACGGUACCUAAUCAGAAAGCCACGGCUAACUACGUG